AGUGAACGCUGGCGGUAGGCCUAACACAUGCAAGUCGAACGGCAGCACAGUAAGAGCUUGCUCUUACGGGUGGCGAGUGGCGGAGGGGUGAGGAAGACAUCGGAAUCUACUUUUUCGUGGGGGAUAACGUAGGGAAACUUACGCGAAUACCGCAUACGACCUACGGGUGAAAGCAGGGGAUUUUCGGACCUUGCGCGAUUGAAUGAGCCGAUGCCGGAUUAGCGAGUUGGCGGGUGAAUGGCCCACCAAGGCGACGAUCCGUAGCUGGUCUGAGAGGAUGAUCAGCCACACUGGAACUGAGACACGGUCCAGACUCCUACGGGAGGCAGCAGUGGGGAAUAUUGGACAAUGGGCGCAAGCCUGAUCCAGCCAUACCGCGUGGGUGAAGAAGGCCUUCGGGUUGCAAAGCCCUUUUGUUGGGAAAGAAAAGCAGCAGGUUAAUACCCCGCUGUUCUGACGGUACCCAAAGAAUAAGCACCGGCUAACUUCGUG
Molecule: ribosomal RNA, 492 nt
Filed under: uncultured bacterium
Lineage: Bacteria
Description: partial 16S ribosomal RNA
Rfam family: Bacterial small subunit ribosomal RNA
Source: RNAcentral